This 396-nucleotide ribosomal RNA is filed under the name uncultured bacterium. Its description in RNAcentral is "bacterial SSU rRNA". It matches the Rfam family "Bacterial small subunit ribosomal RNA", at positions 83 to 477 of the family's 1533-position model. The record is from RNAcentral.
GCACGGACUAGAGCGGCGGACUGGUGAGUAACGCGUGGGUGACCUACCUUAAGGAUGGGGAUAGCUGUUAGAAAUAGCAGGUAAUACCGAAUACGUUGGAGUUGCUGUGGCAACUCCAGGAAAGAUGCUACGGCAUCGCCUUUAGAUGGGCCCGCGUCCCAUUAGCUAGUUGGUAGAGUAAAGGUUUACCAAGGCGAAGAUGGGUAGCCGGCCUGAGAGGGUGAACGGCCACACUGGGACUGAGAUACGGCCCAGACUCCUACGGGAGGCAGCAGCUAAGAAUAUUCCGCAAUGGACGAAAGUCUGACGGAGCGACGCCGCGUGUAUGAGGAAGGCCGAACAGGUUGUAAAGUACUUUUGCGAACUGAAGAAUAAGUAAGGUAGGGAAUGACCUUA